GAUGUAAUGAGCCCAAAUUGUCUAACCAUUCUUCGCUUUACUCUCUUUCUAGCAGUCGUGAGCUUGGGCAAAUCUGAGCAACGCUCUCUUGGAAGGUGCACUUUCCACAGGCAACACAUCUUUCAAAGGAUCAAACAUUACGAGUGCAGGUAAUAAAUUUGCUCAAUCAUGAUAUUUUUGAUAGCCUUGACUUAGCCCUUAUCAUUAGGAACUUCAUCUCAAGGUGUGCUUGAAUCCAUGGGAGUUGUGUUUAGUACUACUAAAAUGAGAGUGUCCACUAUUAUUUGGGUUAAAUUGGGAAAUUUGUUAUAUACCUUGGUGGUUGUUUAUACCUUUUGCUUGACUUACAAGCUGUUUUUAGAUUGUUUUGUUUAUCUGAUUAGCUGUGUAACUUAGGAUGGUGUUGGUUUUCAUGCAAACUGACUAAAAAACAUGGGUUUAGAUUUUCGUAUAAAACAAAUGACAAAUAUAAAAAAAGCAAUGCAAACUAAUACAA
Molecule: non-coding RNA, 496 nt
Organism: Prunus avium (sweet cherry)
Lineage: Eukaryota; Viridiplantae; Streptophyta; Magnoliopsida; Rosales; Rosaceae
Source: RefSeq, a predicted model, not a curated record